UCCUACGGGAGGCAGCAGUGGGGAAUUUUCCGCAAUGGGCGAAAGCCUGACGGAGCAACGCCGCGUGAGGGAUGAAGGCCUCUGGGCUGUAAACCUCUUUUCUCAAGGAAGAAGAUAUGACGGUACUUGAGGAAUAAGCCACGGCUAAUUCCGUGCCAGCAGCCGCGGUAAUACGGGAGUGGCAAGCGUUAUCCGGAAUUAUUGGGCGUAAAGCGUCCGCAGGCGGCCCUUCAAGUCUGCUGUUAAAACGUGGAGCUUAACUCCAUCAAGGCAGUGGAAACUGUUGGGCUUGAGUGUGGUAGGGGCAGAGGGAAUUCCCGGUGUAGCGGUGAAAUGCGUAGAUAUCGGGAAGAACACCAGUGGCGAAGGCGCUCUGCUGGGCCAUAACUGACGCUCAUGGACGAAAGCCAGGGGAGCGAAAGGGAUUAGAUACCCCUGUAGUCCUGGCCGUAAACGAUGAACACUAGGUGUCGGGGGAAUCGACCCCUUCGGUGUCGUAGCCAACGCGUUAAGUGUUCCGCCUGGGGAGUACGCACGCAAGUGUGAAACUCAAAUGAAUUGACGG
This 565-nucleotide ribosomal RNA is filed under the name uncultured bacterium. Its description in RNAcentral is "bacterial SSU rRNA". It matches the Rfam family "Bacterial small subunit ribosomal RNA", at positions 337 to 916 of the family's 1533-position model. The record is from RNAcentral.